Molecule: long non-coding RNA, 357 nt
Organism: Anguilla anguilla (European eel)
Lineage: Eukaryota; Metazoa; Chordata; Actinopteri; Anguilliformes; Anguillidae
Exons: 2
Source: RefSeq, a predicted model, not a curated record
CCUUGUGGAGACAAUGCCAGGCCGAGACGCACGCUGUCUCUCAGAGAUGAGGCGAAGCGCAGUCCUGUAGCAGCUCGGGGUCGCGUUAUCGCCACGCCUGACGCCUUCAGUACGCUUUGCACUCAGCCAACUGUCAGUCUCGCCUGGAAUGCUCACCAGAAAUUUGACUGGAAACCUGGAUCUUCAAAGCCGAAAGCCUCAAGCCCAUUUACACCCCGUGUCCCGCCAGGGUGGAUAGCAGAUCCCAGACUGCGGCCUUGGAGGCGAGCCGGCCUGGUUUACUCCAGGUCAACGCACAGGAAACGCUGGAGCCUCGUAAAUGUGUGCAGCCUCACUCCCGAUUGAACAAACAGCACA